GCCCGGCUAGCUCAAUCGGUAGAGCGUGAGACUUUUACGAAGACUGGAUACUUCAGAAUCUCAUGAGAUCAUCUCAAGGUUGUGGGUUAGACCCCCACGCCGGGCU
Molecule: non-coding RNA, 106 nt
Organism: Immersiella caudata
Lineage: Eukaryota; Fungi; Ascomycota; Sordariomycetes; Sordariales; Lasiosphaeriaceae
Source: the annotation of a GenBank genome assembly